UUGAAAGCAUCGAGAGUUAGCAGAGUUGGUCAUUUCUAACAAUGCACUCGUCACUUUUAACACUGCUGAAUUAAAGCUUGAAAAAGACAAAUCAGUUCAAACUUGACACGUUUCAAUGAUUCGUUGAUAUACCUUGAGGAGGUUGUCAUUGCUGUGCAGCCAGUAACUCCCUUUAUACAUCUGACUGUAAACUCUACCCAUAGAAAACUGAACUGUAACUUUCUCAGUGAGGUGGAGAAGUCCACUAAUUAUGUUAUUUAUACUCGACCUGCAGGUUGGGACUUAUUAGGUGAGUCGACAUGAAUAUUUCAUCUUUCACCUACAGAACUAGUCACCGCAGAGGUCGCUCACUUUCCUUUUCACACUGACAGGUGAAAGAGAAAAAGUCCAGACGGUGUGCAUCGGGAAGGAAUUUAGUCUGCCAGUGGACUCCACAUCGAGGAUUGUGACUUUCACGCCAAGCCCCGAUGGGCCGAGACGUGUCCUGCUGGAUAAGACCACUGUGAAGGAUCCACGGUUCAAGUGGACCAGAGAUAAAUCGUUGGUCCUAAAAGAAGUGACUCACAGUGAUCAGGGGCUUUAUGUCAGUGGCAGUAAAGGCCUCAGCAAAGCAUCACAAAUGAGGACACUCACUGGAGCAACGACUGCCUGAAGUCACGUUUCCUCCAGUUUGAAUGUGGAGAAACUUACUGUGAUGGCAGACAGAGUGGAGCUCAGUGUUGUGGAGCUUUGGGAGGAACUGUGGUCAUCAGACUGAUGGACAACGCCUUAGAAACAUAUAGAUGUUAUGUGAAAAAGGGAACAUCAGUAAUAUUAACAUGGAAAAACAAAAUUAUUGUAACUAAUGUGAUAAAAGACAGAUCUGUCUUUAAUCUCAGUGAUGGAACAUUUAGGAUCAAUGAACUGAGCAGGAAUGACAGUGGUCAAUAUGAUCUGAUAAUCUUUGACUCAAAUGGAUCAAAAUUACCAGAACAGACUCUACAGUUGUUUAUUGAAGGUCACAUGUCCAUCAUAUGUGCGUUGAAAGCAGCUGUGAUAAUUCUCUUGUUAAUUGGGAUUCUCGUCUGUUUUGCCUGGAAGAAAAAGAGACAAGGAAAAGCUGAAGGCUCAGCUGUCCCACAAACACUGGAACCUCCAGAAAAGACUGUCAUGAUGGUUGAAAUGAGAGGUUCUGCACCUUAAAACAACAACUAGCGACACAUUUCAUCCGCGCUAGGUUCCUUAUUUUACCCGUUUUUGUCUCUGAAGAACUUUCAAAUGUACUGGCUUUACAUGAAGCACGGCAGCAGAAAAAUGUGUCUUAUGAUAAAAAGCACGUCCUUCAUUAGUGGAUCACUGGUACCAAAAUGACCCAA
Molecule: long non-coding RNA, 1355 nt
Organism: Mugil cephalus (flathead mullet)
Lineage: Eukaryota; Metazoa; Chordata; Actinopteri; Mugiliformes; Mugilidae
Exons: 4
Source: RefSeq, a predicted model, not a curated record